UACGUAGGGGGCUAGCGUUGUCCGGAAUCAUUGGGCGUAAAGAGCGUGUAGGCGGCCCGGUAAGUCCGCUGUGAAAGUCGGGGGCUCAACCCUCGAAUGCCGGUGGAUACUGUCGGGCUAGAGUGCGGAAGAGGCGAGUGGAAUUCCUGGUGUAGCGGUGAAAUGCGUAGAUAUCAGGAGGAACACCGGUGGCGAAGGCGACAUCCUGGACCGGCAUUGACGCUGAGGCGCGAAAGCCAGGGGAGCAAACGGG
RNAcentral lists this ribosomal RNA (253 nucleotides) under uncultured bacterium. RNAcentral's name for it is "partial 16S ribosomal RNA". It matches the Rfam family "Bacterial small subunit ribosomal RNA", at positions 524 to 776 of the family's 1533-position model. The record is from RNAcentral.